AUUGAACGCUGGCGGCAGGCCUAACACAUGCAAGUCGAGCGGAUGAAGGGAGCUUGCUCCUGGAUUCAGCGGCGGACGGGUGAGUAAUGCCUAGGAAUCUGCCUGGCAGUGGGGGAUAACGUCCGGAAACGGGCGCUAAUACCGCAUACGUCCUGAGGGAGAAAGUGGGGGAUCUUCGGACCUCACGCUAUCAGAUGAGCCUAGGUCGGAUUAGCUAGUUGGUGGGGUAAAGGCCUACCAAGGUGACGAUCCGUAACUGGUCUGAGAGGAUGAUCAGUCACACUGGAACUGAGACACGGUCCAGACUCCUACGGGAGGCAGCAGUGGGGAAUAUUGGACAAUGGGCGAAAGCCUGAUCCAGCCAUGCCGCGUGUGUGAAGAAGGUCUUCGGAUUGUAAAGCACUUUAAGUUGGGAGGAAGGGCAGUAAGUUAAUACCUUGCUGUUUUGACGUUACCAACAGAAUAAGCACCGGCUAACUUCGUG
This 484-nucleotide ribosomal RNA is filed under the name uncultured bacterium. Its description in RNAcentral is "partial 16S ribosomal RNA". It matches the Rfam family "Bacterial small subunit ribosomal RNA", at positions 30 to 507 of the family's 1533-position model. The record is from RNAcentral.